This 876-nucleotide small RNA is filed under the name Arabidopsis thaliana (thale cress). Its description in RNAcentral is "ATSL000880". The record is from RNAcentral. Lineage: Eukaryota; Viridiplantae; Streptophyta; Magnoliopsida; Brassicales; Brassicaceae.
UUUUUUUUGUCAACCGAUAUAAAUUAAACCUCAAAAGAGCCAAUCCCGAGGGAUAUUGUUUACAUACGUGACAUGAUGCGGUACGGUACGAAUCUUUCGUGCCAACUUAUCCGCUUUUACAUUUGCACUACGAGAAAUUAAAGAUAAAGAGAAAUUUGUGAAUUCUUCCCUAUCACUUUGCAACUCCUCCAAAUACACUGAAAACGCCGGCCAUUCGGUUGGAGAAGACACCAUCUUCACCAAGUCUGAACAGUCUGUAAAGAAAGCUACGUUCUGAUUAUCUGCUCCAAUCAUGCACUUCAUCGCCCAAAGAAGAGCUUCCAUUUCGGUAUGUAGAGGAGAUAGACUUCUACGAACGUUGGCGGCUCCCAUGGUUGGCGACUCUCCAAGAGAUGAUAGACAGAACCAUCCUGUUCCUGAGAACUGGUCACUUGCUUUCCAAGAUCCAUCAAUAAAACACCGAAAGCCAGAAAAAGUUGUAUCUUGUGAUACAUCCCUCACCCGAAUUCGACUAUCUAUAGACAAGGAACCAUGUUUUUCACUAUGGAGCUCGACUUGAGCUUCCUGCCACGAUUGAGCCUCUUUUACCGAUAAGAGCAAUAUUUCCAUUGGAUCUUUAUCCACAUUUUCAAAAACUUUUUCAUUUCUUGCUUUCCAUAUAUACCAAAUUAUCCAUGGGUAAGAAGCCGAAUCGACGCCUGAAGGAAUUCUCCAAAACAAAUGAUCCAAAUUCGUAAAAAUUGAAUUCGAAGGAAAAAUCCUUGGGGCCGUAGGAAUUUGUGAUAGUGCCCAAAUCUGCCUUGCAGGAUGGCAUAGAAAAGGUUUAUAUUUUAGUUUUAAUAUAAAAAAGAGGGGAAAAGAGUAUUUGCAAGUUGC